AAAAAAAAACCAAAAAAACAAUGUAAAUUUCA
Molecule: small RNA, 32 nt
Filed under: Arabidopsis thaliana (thale cress)
Lineage: Eukaryota; Viridiplantae; Streptophyta; Magnoliopsida; Brassicales; Brassicaceae
Description: ATSL064700
Source: RNAcentral